GUGAAUGAUAGAUGACCAAUCUAAAAAGCUUCCUCAAGUUCCUUCAAUGCAUUUAGUUCCUAAGGGAUUAGUGAGUGCCUUACUGCAAUGCCUGAACUCUGCUGGAGGAGCUGCAGAAGGGCUGGCAGCAGGCUGGAGUGUGGACUGGAAAAACUCAACUGACACGGGUCUGCAAGGCCUGCAUGGCUGCUUCUGCAUCCCACACCUGAAGGCAGGAUGGCCGCACUGCCGGGCCAAGGACGGACUUCAAAAAUGCUCAGCACAUCGCUGCAUCUAAGACUACCCAUUUUCUGCUCUGAAACAUGACUUUUCAGAUCUCUUUGUUACCAUCACACAAGUCACUGUCCUCCAAGUCUCUGAAGAUGACUUUUCUCCAGCUGAGAUUUACAAGGUCAGAGGCUAUAAUCUCCUGGAAGCUGUCCCCAGCUAAUUACAUCUUGUCCAUCC
This 447-nucleotide long non-coding RNA is filed under the name Chrysolophus pictus (golden pheasant). RNAcentral's name for it is "lncRNA (ENSCPIG00010002201.1)". The record is from RNAcentral. Lineage: Eukaryota; Metazoa; Chordata; Aves; Galliformes; Phasianidae.